GUGAGGCGAGGCUGGGAGGGUGUGUGGCGCGGGUGCUGUGGGGCUGUCGGGGUGCCUGCAGGAGGCUCACCUGGCUGGCCCGCCCAG
This 87-nucleotide microRNA precursor is filed under the name Pongo abelii (Sumatran orangutan). RNAcentral's name for it is "miRNA". The record is from RNAcentral. Lineage: Eukaryota; Metazoa; Chordata; Mammalia; Primates; Hominidae.